Homo sapiens (human) is the source of this 1036-nucleotide long non-coding RNA. Ensembl annotates it as PPARG activating RBM14 associated lncRNA 1. Its record names the gene PARAL1. NCBI's taxonomy places the organism in Eukaryota, Metazoa, Chordata, Mammalia, Primates, Hominidae. The record is from Ensembl.
GGGACUUUUGAAAUGCAUUCUGUGAAUGAGAAGAAAUGCAAACAUGUUGGCAAAACUGAUUAUUUUCAUUGUGGAUCUCACGCUUGCUUUGGCCAUUUUUGUUAUCUUUUAUUUAAUGGCUGCCACUGUUUUUUUCAUCUCGGUCAUUUUCUAUAUUUUCAAAAGGGAGAUGGAAAAAAAACUUUGACUUCAACAAGCGCCGAAUCUGGGCGCUGGAUUCUAGCAAUGCUACUGAGGAGCCUUUGGCAGGUGGCGCAGAGAAAGUCAGCUCCAAGCUGCUUCCUGUCCAUUGUCCAGCUGUAGGAGAAGGGUCUUUCCUGCCCAAGGACAGUGGUCCUCUCUUCUAAAGAGCAAGGAGCUCUCUGAGGUGGAGGAGGCUUGUGAAGACUUCCCAGAACACUGCACCCACCUGACCAAGAGGUACUUUUUAAGGUCAUUCAAACUGUCAUCUACACAUGAAUAACAAUGAAAUUCUCAUAAAGAAGCAGAAAUACCCAGGAGGCAUGAAGAGUCAUCAUGCUUCAAAAGUACAUGUAUUAGGACUUCACGACCUCAGGAAAAGUAGACUCCGUAACUCUUAAAAGCUCAAUCUUGGAGAGGAGAAACAUGCUGUUUGAUGACAUAGCACAGAAACUUGUUGAAAUAUCCUUGGAGCUUGAGAUGUCGAGAGCGAGCCAUCAAAAUGUUCUCAAGAAUUAAAUUGAAAAAUGUUGCUUCAAAAUGUCUUAGCCAACCAAAUACAAACAUUUUUGUCAUUGUGACAAAAAAAAAGCUCACCAAUUGUCUUUGCUAGUCUCAGCACAGCCCAAGAGGAGCAUCCUUCAUGAGCCAACUGAAAAACAGUGUGUAGUCUAUGCUUCUGACCAGAUGGGCUUCUCUUGUCACCAUAACAUUAUGUAUUAGGACUUCAUGUAUUAUGUAUUAUGUCAACACUUUAUUCAUUAUGCUGAUCAUACUCUGUAUUUCACUUGCUCUGGUUAUUUGUAAAGCUUUUCCUAUUUCAUCAUUAAAUUAUCCUUGUAUUUUAGCAACUGCA